AUGGUUGAGAAAGCCAGGCAACUGCCCCUGAACAGCUCGUCAGACACUAUCUCUUGGAAACGUAAUAAUAAUGGAAAAUUUACUACUAAGUCAGUUUAUGAGUGCCUGGAAAGGAACCUAUCUGGCCCCAAUUAUAAAUGGGUGUGGAAGGCCCCUAUCCCCCUAAAAAUUAAGAUUUUUUUGCGGCAACUUUUUCAAGAUGCUGUGCUUACAAGAGACAAUAUGCGGGCUAGGAAGUGGCCUGGGGAUCCUACUUGUUCCUUUUGUACAAAUAUUGAAGCAGCGAACCAUCUAUUCUUUAAUUGCCCACUUGACCGCACGGUUUGGGGCGUGCUGGGAAUGACGGGUGGAGCAUCUUGCUGCCCCCGUUCGCUUUGGCAAAGUUGGGCGUGGCUGUAUAGGUUUUUUCCAGGAGGGGAACACUUUUAUAUGAUGAUUAUUGCUGCUGUUUGUUGGGGAUAUGGAACCUUCGAAAUAAAGUCACUUUUGAUAAACAUAUUGCUCGCACUCCACUGGAGGCUGUUUUCACUGCAUGUUCUUUUAUGCUAUAUUGGGUAG
Molecule: ribosomal RNA, 558 nt
Filed under: Triticum aestivum (bread wheat)
Lineage: Eukaryota; Viridiplantae; Streptophyta; Magnoliopsida; Poales; Poaceae
Description: partial small subunit ribosomal RNA
Source: RNAcentral